GUGUGUGUGAGAGAGAGAGAGAGAGAGAGAGAGAGAGAGAGAUUUUGUUUCUGCUUGCCUGCCUGCCUGCCUGCCUACGUGCCUCUCUCUCUCUCUCUCUCUCUCUCUCUCUCUCCCUCCCUCC
This 124-nucleotide microRNA precursor is filed under the name Podarcis lilfordi (Lilford's wall lizard). The record is from RNAcentral. Lineage: Eukaryota; Metazoa; Chordata; Lepidosauria; Squamata; Lacertidae.